GAUGAACGCUGGCGGCGUGCCUAAUACAUGCAAGUCGAGCGAACAGACGAGGAGCUUGCUCCUCUGACGUUAGCGGCGGACGGGUGAGUAACACGUGGAUAACCUACCUAUAAGACUGGGAUAACUUCGGGUAACCGGAGCUACUACCGGAUAAUAUAUUGAACCGCAUGGUUCAAUAGUGAAAGAGGGUUUUGCUGUCACUUAUAGAUGGAUCCGCGCCGCAUUAGCUAGUUGGUAAGGUAACGGCUUACCAAGGCAACGAUGCGUAGCCGACCUGAGAGGGUGAUCGGCCACACUGGAACUGAGACACGGUCCAGACUCCGACGGGAGGCAGCAGUAGGGAAUCUUCCGCGAUGGGCGGAAGCCUGACGGAGCAACGCCGCGUGAGUGAUGAAGGUCUUCGGAUCGUAAAACUCUGUUAUUAGGGAAGAACAAAUGUGUAAGUAACUAUGCACGUCGUGACGGUACCUAAUCAGAAAGCCACGGCUAACUACGUG
This 497-nucleotide ribosomal RNA is filed under the name uncultured bacterium. RNAcentral describes it as "partial 16S ribosomal RNA". It matches the Rfam family "Bacterial small subunit ribosomal RNA", at positions 28 to 507 of the family's 1533-position model. The record is from RNAcentral.